Molecule: long non-coding RNA, 653 nt
Organism: Coffea arabica (coffee)
Lineage: Eukaryota; Viridiplantae; Streptophyta; Magnoliopsida; Gentianales; Rubiaceae
Source: RefSeq, a predicted model, not a curated record
UUGUGGUUAGAUUCUGAUUGACUAUUGAAAUUAAGUAGAUUGGUGGCUAUUACUAAUUCAAUAAUUUAAUGAUGGUAUCUUUGUUUCAAGGAUUUGACAAGAAGCAUUGAAAGCGAAGGAUGGAAAGUCAGAAAGUAUGAAAAUAUUUGACGGUAUGAAUCUAGAUAGUGUUUUGGAAACCACAUAUGGCGAGACAGUCCUGAGGAUGGGAGAAGUAUGAUAAUUUUACCACUUGGUUGCCUCAAUGGUUAGAGAUAAAGCUCAUAAAAAGGGAUCCUGAAUUGCAAGUGGUGGUGAGAAGAAAUCCUACGAAGGGAGAUGAUGAAUUGAGACAUCUUCUCACGAGUUAAGAGGAGAAGCUGCCAUGUCAGAUAUUUGAACUUCAACGCAGAAGAGGAAGUUGUGGAUCUUGCAGUCCACCACAUAUCCUGAGCAACAACUUGUCAAUUUAAGGAUUUAGCCAAAAUUUGUAAUAGUUUGAGAAACAACUGAAAGAUCACCUCGGUCAACUCUGCCUGGCUAUCCCCUUUGUAAAUUUGAGAGCAACCAGAGAAUCAUCCCUGCCAACUGCAAAUGUCCCAUUCCUGUGUUUGAAAAAAUACGCUGGCCACUAUAAUUAACUAUGCCAUAAUCAAAUGGAUUUGCUGAAGACA